This 232-nucleotide ribosomal RNA is filed under the name uncultured bacterium. Its description in RNAcentral is "partial small subunit ribosomal RNA". It matches the Rfam family "Bacterial small subunit ribosomal RNA", at positions 26 to 288 of the family's 1533-position model. The record is from RNAcentral.
AGAACGAACGCUGGCGGCAGGCUUAACACAUGCAAGUCGAACGCCCCGCAAGGGGAGUGGCAGACGGGUGAGUAACACGUGGGAACAUACCCUUCGGUACGGAACAACUCGGGGAAACGCGAGCUAAUACCGUAUACGCCCUGGCGGGGAAAGAUUUAUCGCCGAAGGAUUGGCCCGCGCCCGAUUAGCUAGUUGGUGAGGUAAUGGCUCACCAAGGCGACGAUCGGUAGCU